This 60-nucleotide transfer RNA is filed under the name Habropoda laboriosa. It matches the Rfam family "tRNA", at positions 7 to 64 of the family's 71-position model. Rfam says of the family: Transfer RNA (tRNA) molecules are approximately 80 nucleotides in length. Their secondary structure includes four short double-helical elements and three loops (D, anti-codon, and T loops). Further hydrogen bonds mediate the characteristic L-shaped molecular structure. tRNAs have two regions of fundamental functional importance: the anti-codon, which is responsible for specific mRNA codon recognition, and the 3' end, to which the tRNAs corresponding amino acid is attached (by aminoacyl-tRNA synthetases). tRNAs cope with the degeneracy of the genetic code in two manners: having more than one tRNA (with a specific anti-codon) for a particular amino acid; and 'wobble' base-pairing, i.e. permitting non-standard base-pairing at the 3rd anti-codon position. Lineage: Eukaryota; Metazoa; Arthropoda; Insecta; Hymenoptera; Apidae. The record is from Rfam by way of RNAcentral.
AUAGCGUAAUGGGCAAAGCCUCGGUUUGCUAAGCCGAAGGUCCCGGGUUCGAUUCCCGUU